This 85-nucleotide transfer RNA is filed under the name Felis catus (domestic cat). It matches the Rfam family "tRNA". Rfam says of the family: Transfer RNA (tRNA) molecules are approximately 80 nucleotides in length. Their secondary structure includes four short double-helical elements and three loops (D, anti-codon, and T loops). Further hydrogen bonds mediate the characteristic L-shaped molecular structure. tRNAs have two regions of fundamental functional importance: the anti-codon, which is responsible for specific mRNA codon recognition, and the 3' end, to which the tRNAs corresponding amino acid is attached (by aminoacyl-tRNA synthetases). tRNAs cope with the degeneracy of the genetic code in two manners: having more than one tRNA (with a specific anti-codon) for a particular amino acid; and 'wobble' base-pairing, i.e. permitting non-standard base-pairing at the 3rd anti-codon position. Lineage: Eukaryota; Metazoa; Chordata; Mammalia; Carnivora; Felidae. The record is from Rfam by way of RNAcentral.
GCCUCAGUGGCUCAGUUGGUUAAGCAUCUGACUUCUUCUCAGGUCACGAUCUCACAGUCUGUGGGUUCGAGCCCCAUGUCAGGCU